CGCCGGUUCCCCGCCAAGUCCCCUUCUGUGCGCGCCGGGACUGAGGAGGGCGAGGGCGGCCUCGGGUAGGUCCCGCCGCUGCCGGAGAUGCGAGCCUGGGGGUGUAAGCCCUGGUAGGUUCGAGCCCCCGGGGAUGUGAGCCCCGGCGGGUUUCCUCGCUGUCCUCAGCUCGGGCGCGAUGUAGCGCUCUGACCGCGGGAGAUGCGCUGGGAUCCCCACCUGAGCACUGGGUCCCGCGGCGCUCCUUGCCCUCCGGCAGCCUCUCCCGGUGACGGGGCGACGCUCCCUACCCUGCCUCUCCCUGAGGAGAGCUCUGGUUGUAGCCAAACUCUCUUCGGGUGUGUGCAGCUAGGCAUCUCCAGGCUCCGACCCGGCAAGCAGAGAGAGUUGUCUUCCCUGAUAUCCCGCCCUCGAAAGGCGGCGGAGGCCUCCGGUAUCCCGCCUGGGGCUGGUGGUGGUGGGAACGGGAGCAGAGCGGUCUCGGCCCCACGCAGCCCGCAUUCCAGCAGAGUGUACACCGAGUCUGAACAGACACUGCAAACCAGGAAUGCUCUGUGCAUCCAUUUUGCCUGUGGGCGUCCCGAUGUGAGUGCCAGAGCAGCCCGCGCACUCUUGGCUGCGAUUCUGGAGCCCGGCAGGGUAGGAAACAGUGAAAGCUGGUGGGAUGCGGAUUGUGCAGAAACACCCACACAACUCAGAUGCCAAAGAGGAAAAAGAUAAGGAUGUCCAAGACAGGGAAACCAGCAGGUCCCUUGGGCUAUUGUGUCAGUGGAAGCAGCCCUGAAGGAGUGAACUGGUACUCUGUAAAAGCAUCUGUCUUCUAUAUAUCCUCUUCUUGGACAGAAUUCAAAUUUCUCCCACCGUAUUUCUAUCUACCUUUAUUUUCCCCUCUUUCUGUGGCCUGAUUCUGUUACCUCUGUGAUUACCUCUGUGAACUGAUAUGGUUGCACAAAAGAGGUUAUGUUCAUAGAUUGUAUUGUCAUUUUACACUUGACCAUGUAAAAAAUGAAAUUUGAUUAAAUGUAUGGAUAUAAUGGAUAUGACUGAGAGGUUUUUAUUCUUGUCUUUGGCCUUUGAACUCUUGUUACUCAGGUAUGGAGCUUGGGAGGCAACUGGCCUUAAAAAUGAAAUUUCUGGGGGAAAUGCAAUGGAAAAGCAACCUGGCUGUGAAUACUGUGCUUGUGGUUUCUGGGAAAGAUGCAAAUUGCAGCAAACAUUGGGUCACCCCAUGGUCAUUUUAAAGUUUUGUGUGACUAACUUUUUCCUUACUUGGCUAAAUAUUCCAAAGGUUAAAAGAAAGUUCUGCUGGAAAAAGACUGUCAAAAAUUGCAACUAUAAUUUUUUAAUAUUAUUAAGCAUAGUGCUGAACCUAGUGCAAUUAGGGAAAUAGCUUCCUACCUUCUCCAAAAUAUUUUUAUUUCCCAAAAAGAUUAUAUGCUUAGUGCUUAGGCUUUUUUUAAUACCUUCCCUCUUCUUAUCUUUAUUAUUUUGGACUUUAAUUUCCUUCACAGUUAAGGGAAUAGCUUCUUAAUAAUGUUACACUCUUCUUUACAUAAGUGGCAUUGCCUUAAAUGCAUUUUCCUACUUUAUUACUCAUCUUUGUGUCUCAAUCUUUUGCCAUAGGGUUUUUAUGAUUAGCAGAUGCUCAAGUCUGUUUAGGUUUAUAUAUACAUAAUUUGAUUAAUUACAAAACCUGAAAACGAUAUUAGCUGUGUUCAUGUGAUUUUUCAGGACAAUACCUUUUGCAGAUGACCAGUUACUUUGAGAAGUAGAAAAGUAAUUGCUAUGACCUCUCUUGAGCUCUAUCAAACACCUGUGCAGUAACAGACUUAAGUCUGUAAAUAUGUACACAGUAUAGAAUAUGUAAUACUGAUUUUCAAAUGCAGAGCUACUGUAAAUUAAGAAAAUAGGCUAUGAAUAUCUCCAUUUAAGAACUGAAGGUACCUGUGAAUGUAGGGAGUGGAGAAAAAGCUAGGCAAGAUUAUGAAUUAAGCAUUCUCAUACAGGAAGAGGAAAGCCUUCAAAAAAUUGCUUUAUGCUUCCAAUAUUUCUUGAUGAUUGAGGCAGUAAGUUGAUAAAUCUAUCAGUGUAAGUGCUAGUUCUGACAUUAUAUGGAUAGCUCUUUUCAUAUUCCUGAAGUACUGUGUACAUGUGUGAAAAAACUAAAAAAGAUCUGAUAUUUCUCCCUCUCAAAGUGAAUAAAAGCUAAUGCCAUCCAGCUCA
RNAcentral lists this long non-coding RNA (2223 nucleotides) under Cyanistes caeruleus (blue tit). Its description in RNAcentral is "lncRNA (ENSCCEG00000012695.1)". The record is from RNAcentral. Lineage: Eukaryota; Metazoa; Chordata; Aves; Passeriformes; Paridae.